This 253-nucleotide ribosomal RNA is filed under the name uncultured bacterium. Its description in RNAcentral is "partial 16S ribosomal RNA". It matches the Rfam family "Bacterial small subunit ribosomal RNA", at positions 524 to 776 of the family's 1533-position model. The record is from RNAcentral.
UACGAAGGGGGCUAGCGUUGUUCGGAGUUACUGGGCGUAAAGGGCGCGUAGGCGGCGCAUCAAGUCAGGCGUGAAAGCCCGGGGCUCAACUCCGGAAUUGCCUUUAAGACUGCAUCGCUAGAAUUGUGGAGAGGUAAGUGGAAUUCCGAGUGUAGAGGUGAAAUUCGUAGAUAUUCGGAAGAACACCAGUGGCGAAGGCGACUUACUGGACACAUAUUGACGCUGAGGUGCGAAAGCGUGGGGAGCAAACAGG